Non-coding RNA from Hydra vulgaris (swiftwater hydra), 233 nucleotides. NCBI's taxonomy places the organism in Eukaryota, Metazoa, Cnidaria, Hydrozoa, Anthoathecata, Hydridae. The record is from RefSeq and is a predicted model, not a curated record.
AGAGUGCCAGCGAAUUUGAAUGCCUGGUGGGAAGACUCAACAGAAAUUUUCUUGGCCUACUUAUCCUGUUUGGCCUUGGGCAAAUGUGGACUGUGGUUACAUCCCAUCUGCACUGUGGGUUUUCAACAACAAGUUCAUGGCAUUCCAAAAAAUUUGUUAAAUGGAUGAGCGAUAUAUCCAACAAUUUGUCUUUACCAACAACUUGAAAUUCUCAACAACCUCCAUUAUCUUUA